Long non-coding RNA from Chenopodium quinoa (quinoa), 727 nucleotides. RefSeq lists it as uncharacterized. The record is from RefSeq and is a predicted model, not a curated record. NCBI's taxonomy places the organism in Eukaryota, Viridiplantae, Streptophyta, Magnoliopsida, Caryophyllales, Amaranthaceae. The transcript is spliced from 4 exons.
AAAGCAUUUAACUUGGUUAAAUUUUUAUUUUGUGGGAAAACUACCUCCAUAAUCAAUAAAGCAUUUAACUUGGUUAAAAUUUUGUGGGAAAAUUCAUCCUUCCGGAAGUAAUUUUGGCGGAUAAACUCCCUCCAACUCCUCUAAGUACAUGUAAAUGAAAUUAAAAAAAUGAAAAGAAAAAGAUGUGAAAAAUCGAACUAAAACACUAAAACUUCUCUAAUGGGAAAUCACCCUUCACUUAUGCUCCAUACUCCGUACUCCAUACUCCAUACUCCAUUUCUACCCUACUCUAUUCUCAACUGAAGUGGGAAAUUUAUAAUUCAUAGCCUCUAGCUGAUGCAAAAGGUGCAAAAAAACAUGGAAUGCAGUACUUUAUACAAUAUCACCAGGCUGCCUUGAAUUCUAUACUAGCAGGGGAUUUAGAUCAAUUGGAUAUGUGUAAAAAUGCUAGAGGUGGAUACUAAAGCUGAAGAAGAUGCUUCCUGAAUUGUUCCUAAAUUGCAAGCAAGAGAAACAAAUGAUAAUGCAGUCCAAAGAAUAAUUGCUGAAAUUAUUUAGGGGACAAAAUGAUUUAGUUUUAACUUUAAUUGUUUUUUGUUAGUUGUUUUUUUUUUAAUUUUUUUUUUCGGGAAGGAAUUCUUAGUUUAACUAGUGAUAAUUUAAUUUUGUAAUUUUCCUUAUAAAUAACAAUGUACAAACUUUUAAUUUAUAUAAAUAAAAUUCUAAU